This 948-nucleotide ribosomal RNA is filed under the name uncultured prokaryote. RNAcentral's name for it is "bacterial SSU rRNA". It matches the Rfam family "Bacterial small subunit ribosomal RNA", at positions 496 to 1444 of the family's 1533-position model. The record is from RNAcentral.
GCUAACUUCGUGCCAGCAGCCGCGGUAAUACGAAGGGACCUAGCGUAGUUCGGAAUUACUGGGCUUAAAGAGCUCGUAGGUGGUUAAGAAAGUUGGUGGUGAAAUCCCAAGGCUUAACCUUGGAACUGCCACCAAAACUUUUUAACUAGAGUAUGAUAGAGGUAAGUGGAAUUUCUAGUGUAGAGGUGAAAUUCGUAGAUAUUAGAAAGAACACCAAUUGCGAAGGCAACUUUCUGGAUCAUUACUGACACUGAGGAGCGAAAGCAUGGGUAGCGAAGAGGAUUAGAUACCCUCGUAGUCCAUGCCGUAAACGAUGUGUGCUAGACGUUGGAAACUUAGUUUUCAGUGUCGCAGCAAAAGCGUUAAGCACACCGCCUGGGGAGUACGACCGCAAGGUUAAAACUCAAAUGAAUUGACGGGGACCCGCACAAGUAGUGGAGCAUGUGGUUUAAUUCGAAGAUACGCGCAGAACCUUACCAACACUUGACAUGUUCGUCGCGACUCUAAGAGAUUAGAGUCUUCGGUUCGGCCGGACGAAACACAGGUGCUGCAUGGCUGUCGUCAGCUCGUGUCGUGAGAUGUUGGGUUAAGUCCCGCAACGAGCGCAACCCUUACUUUUAGUUGCUACCAUUUAGUUGGGCACUCUAAAAGAACUGCCAGUGAUAAGCUGGAGGAAGGUGGGGAUGACGUCAAGUCCUCAUGGCCCUUAUGUGUUGGGCUACACACGUGCUACAAUGGUAUUUACAGUGGGAUGCAAAGAGGCAACUCCAAGCAAAUCUCAAAAAGGUACCUCAGUUCGGAUUGCACUCUGCAACUCGAGUGCAUGAAGCUGGAAUUACUAGUAAUCGCGGAUCAGCGCGCCGCGGUGAAUACGUUCCCGGGUCUUGUACACACCGCCCGUCACACCAUGGAAGUUGGUUACACCUUAAGGCAAAGUCUAAAACCUUG